This 70-nucleotide transfer RNA is filed under the name Chorotypus fenestratus. RNAcentral describes it as "tRNA-Asp". The record is from RNAcentral. Lineage: Eukaryota; Metazoa; Arthropoda; Insecta; Orthoptera; Chorotypidae.
AAGGAGUUAGUUUAAAAGAACUAAAACAUAAGAAUGUCAAUCUAAAAAUAUUUAUCAUAAUUACUCCUUG